CUUGGAGAAAGCUCAUCAGAGGGGCCAUGUGCUAAGUGCUCAUCACUUCCUGGCCCCUGGCAAGGUCUGAGACUGGGGCCUCCUGAAGCCCUAGCCGGGCUCUCCCUGAGCGGGGAGGGGAGUUCCCAGAGAGCAGGGCUCCAUGUGAAAGACCCCCGGAGGCUCAGGCCCCCAGGAUCUCAGCCCAGGACCACGGCCACCCCAAUCACCAUGCAAAGGCGAAAGCUUGAUGCAAACAGCAAGAGGCUUUAUUGUAGUUGUUUAACGAG
Molecule: ribozyme, 269 nt
Organism: Cricetulus griseus (Chinese hamster)
Lineage: Eukaryota; Metazoa; Chordata; Mammalia; Rodentia; Cricetidae
Rfam family: Nuclear RNase P
About the family: Ribonuclease P (RNase P) is a ubiquitous endoribonuclease, found in archaea, bacteria and eukarya as well as chloroplasts and mitochondria. Its best characterised activity is the generation of mature 5'-ends of tRNAs by cleaving the 5'-leader elements of precursor-tRNAs.
Source: Ensembl